Long non-coding RNA from Dendrobium catenatum, 302 nucleotides. RefSeq lists it as uncharacterized. Lineage: Eukaryota; Viridiplantae; Streptophyta; Magnoliopsida; Asparagales; Orchidaceae. The record is from RefSeq and is a predicted model, not a curated record. The transcript has 3 exons.
UGUAAUUGUUUUCAUUAUAGGAAGUUCGUGUGAGAUUUGCUGGUUUUGGUCCUGAUGAAGAUGAAUGGGUCAAUGUCGCAACGGCGGUUCGAGAUCGAUCCAUACCUAUGGAAGCUUCAGAAUGCUGGAGAGUUAAUGAAGGAGAUAUUCUUCUCUGUUUUCGGGAGAAAGAUGAAACUGCCUACCACUUUGAUGCACAUGUUGUUUCAAUUGAGAGAACGAGUCAUGAUAUAAGGGGCUGCAGCUGUACCUUCUUGGUACAGUAUGAUCAUGACCAGGUUGAGGAGAACGUUCACCUAAGC